Molecule: ribosomal RNA, 253 nt
Filed under: uncultured bacterium
Lineage: Bacteria
Description: partial 16S ribosomal RNA
Rfam family: Bacterial small subunit ribosomal RNA
Source: RNAcentral
UACAGAGGUCUCAAGCGUUGUUCGGAUUCAUUGGGCGUAAAGGGUGCGUAGGCGGCGCGGUAAGUCGGGUGUGAAAUCUCGGGGCUUAACUCCGAAACUGCAUUCGAUACUGCCGUGCUUGAGGACUGGAGAGGAGACUGGAAUUUACGGUGUAGCGGUGAAAUGCGUAGAUAUCAGGAGGAACACCGAUGGCGAAGGCAGGUCUCUGGGCCACUACUGACGCUGAGAAGCGAAAGCAUGGGGAGCGAACAGG